Molecule: long non-coding RNA, 2783 nt
Filed under: Olea europaea (common olive)
Lineage: Eukaryota; Viridiplantae; Streptophyta; Magnoliopsida; Lamiales; Oleaceae
Description: long non-coding RNA (OEUR_LNC011248)
Source: RNAcentral
AACUUGUUUGAUAUUGACUUUUUAAAGGUUUACUCGAUUAGACGGAGCGCUAAAGACACUAAUAUGGAAUCCCCAAUCUUCUUCUUGAAAAGAGUUCAUCCAAGAACUAACUGAACUGUAAGGCAGCAAAAACGGUGGAGAUAGUUGAACUAAAGAAUGAGAAAUUGGACAGAUUUGUGCUUUUAGUAGUUUUUACAGAUUUGGGAGUCUAGCAUCUUAUCAUUUUGACAUACUGUUGUUAUGUUUUAUUGGUAAAUGGUAUUGAUAAUUUUGAUUUUUAAUGUUAAUUUGUUGAUGCCAACUUCCCUGCAUCCAUUAGACUUGUGUUGCUUAUACGUAACAUCAUUAGUGAUUAUUAAUUCCCUCAUGGUGCAAUCUAAUAAUGCCAAGUUUCCAAAUUUCAUUACGUUUAUCUUAGAUGUAUGUCAUUUCAAACUGUACAAUGUAUUGUUUUUAUCAUAAAUUUUGUAGUGAAGUUGGGCAUUCUGUGCAUUCCAAAAUGUUAAAUAAGAUUCAAUGUUAAUCACAAUACUGGCGUACAAGUUCAUCAAUAAGUUUCAAAUUACCAAUUCCAUGAAAGAGUCUCUCAACAUCUGAAACACUUUUGUUUAAAUGCCAAUUAUGGAACUUGUUAAUGAAUAGACAGCUGUUUUGCACAAUAUCAUUUCGCAAGUCCAUCGCAUGACAUUACACCUAAUUGUUAACGGAGUCUUUUAUACAAAAUUAUUUUGUUAAGUGCGAGAUAUAAACCGUCUACUUAAAAAUCGAUCAAAUUGUUGUUUUCACAACCAAAAGAAAAAAAAUUAAAUUAAAUUAAACUUCAUCAUCAAAUCAUGGAAAUUACAGUUAAUGGUAACCUUAUUUGUAGAAGCCAAAAAUCCACUGGCAUAGUACAUGUCAAUGGGACUCUAUAUUGCACCAUCAAUGGUGGUUCCAAUAGCCCUGCAACCCCAAUUUUUCCUAGUAACUUGCAUCAUAUUUCAAUAUGAAAGAAAUCCCCGAUCAAUGUCAACAUGUCCUUCUCUACAUGACUAAUAAAUAAAUUUAUAAUUUUAGACGAGAUGAUUUACCUAUGUGAUGCUAACUAGAGUUGAUUGUAAUUUAUGCAGGUGUUUCAGUAUAACUAGUUGCUAGCCUGCAAAUCCGGUAGCCUGUAAUAAUGCAGCUGUAAGGUAUGAUAUAACGGUGAUAACUUGAAAUGCAACGUUGAAUAUAGUAUUGUAGUCUUGCAAUGUAGUUGUCAACAUACAUCUUCCCCAACUGCAAUGCAAUCCUACCAUUAACUGGAUGCCUCAUUACGCCAUUAAAUCAACCAGUUAUUGACAUCAAACCCAAUCCAACUCAAACCGUUUGCAAGUGAAUGUCAAAGCCAUCAAAUCCACCAAUUGUUUUGAAUACUCAUCCGAGACUUGAUACAAGAAUCAUUUGAUACUUAUACUUUUUGCCAAGGUAAAUAGUCACACAAUAUCAAACAUGUUCAUGUUAUAUCCCAUAUUUCAUAAAAACUUACAACAGACGUUCGAACAUGGAAGGGGGGGGGGGACAAAUACACAAUUAUAUGCAGUCAGUGUUGAAUCAUAUUACAUGCCAACAAGUAAUCAGUUAUCACAAAAUAAUAUCUAUUCAUUUGCUGGAAAAUGAAAAGUUAAAAUCAUAACAACUUCAAUUUUUAUUUUAUUUUUUAUUUUUUGUGAUCACGAGAUGAAGAAGAUGAAAAAUUAUAGUGCUACAUUCAACAUUGUUAAGGUGAUUUUAAAUGGAUAUUUUUUAGAAAGAGAGAUUAAUUUGGAGUUAAAUUAGAUCUACUUAAUCUAUGCCUUCUUUAAAUUUGUCAAUUACAUUGUAUAAUAAAUAUAUAUAAAAUGCAAUAAGAGUAAUUAAAGGUAGUAUUUUCAGUUAUAUUUUAUAUGGUAAAUAGUGUAUUAUGUAUAUAAAAUAGUAUGUAGUAUUUUAUAAAAUAAUAUAAUUUUGUUGGGUAGAUAUGAUUUUUUCCCAUAAUAAAUAAGGAAUUGAUAUUGGGUCUAAAUCAAGUGGGAGACUGUAACUAUUAAGUACUAAGCUCAAUUGUUGGUUGGACUUAAUAAUUACUAUUGAACUAAGAUUCAUUAAUUAGAUUAAUCUUUUAGGCAAAUAGAAUCUGUGAAAAUUUAUAUAUAUAGUCAAUCCAUAUUUAGAGUUUAAGACUUAUUAUUAAAAACCUUUAGCCGAGGCAAUUGCCAAGGAAUGUGGUGGCUUAGCUUUAGCUAUAAUUGUCAUUGAAGCAUCUAUAGGGGAAAAUAUCAAUUGUUGCAUUUCAUAAAUCAUAAGGAUGCCUUAAGCACCUUGUAAAAGCCAGUCCCUUUAUAAAAGGAAUUGAAGAUAAGGUAAAUUAUACCUUAAAAUGGAGAUAUGAUUUAUUGCAUGACGAGUAUAUCAAAUGUUUUUUUCUGCUUUUCUGUUUGUAUCUAAAGGCCUUGACAAUUGAUGUAUGUGAACUUGUUUGAUAUUGACUUUUUAAAGGUUUACUCGAUUAGACGGAGCGCUAAAGACACUAAUAUGGAAUCCCCAAUCUUCUUCUUGAAAAGAGUUCAUCCAAGAACUAACUGAACUGUAAGGCAGCAAAAACGGUGGAGAUAGUUGAACUAAAGAAUGAGAAAUUGGACAGAUUUGUGCUUUUAGUAGUUUUUACAGAUUUGGGAGUCUAGCAUCUUAUCAUUUUGACAUACUGUUGUUAUGUUUUAUUGGUAAAUGGUAUUGAUAAUUUUGAUUUUUAAUGUUAAUUUGUUGAUGCCAACUUCCCUGCA